UAGGAUGUUAUCUACCAGGGGAUAUUUGGUUUAUACCAUGGUGAUACCCGAGAGAGGCAAUUGCUAAGUUGUGAUGCACUCAUACCUUUACUAGAUGCGAACAAUUCCGGAGAAGAAGAAGUGGAAUCGGACGAGGAUUUUAUUUAUAUUGUUGGGAUUCUUAUAUUUAUGGAGUUGAAGAAGUCCGGGGACAAAUAAGCCAAGGCAAGCCAUCUUUUGAUCUCUGAUUUGGUGUCUAGUUGGAUGUCAUUUGUUGAUGUCCAAAGCACCUUAAUUCUAUGUGUGUUACUCUCUCUAUUUAUGUCAUCUAUGUGUGAUUUCAAGUGGGGAACUCCCUAGUGGUGAUACUCCACUAUUGUCUUUGUGAUUAUGGGAUGCAUGGUAUCAUGGCCGUGCUAUUUCA
This is a long non-coding RNA of Lolium perenne, 403 nucleotides long. RefSeq lists it as uncharacterized. The record is from RefSeq and is a predicted model, not a curated record. Lineage: Eukaryota; Viridiplantae; Streptophyta; Magnoliopsida; Poales; Poaceae.